GUAUUACUAGGAGUUCCCUUCAAACACUUUAUGAAGCGCCUUUUUGAGACCUUAUGUGAAGUGUUUGGGGGAACACUUAGUGCAAU
This 86-nucleotide microRNA precursor is filed under the name Hordeum vulgare. RNAcentral's name for it is "mir-395 microRNA precursor family". It matches the Rfam family "mir-395 microRNA precursor family". From Rfam's summary of the family: mir-395 was identified in both Arabidopsis thaliana and Oryza sativa computationally and was later experimentally verified. mir-395 is thought to target mRNAs coding for ATP sulphurylases. The mature sequence is excised from the 3' arm of the hairpin. RNAcentral also lists the same sequence under 1 other name. The record is from RNAcentral. Lineage: Eukaryota; Viridiplantae; Streptophyta; Magnoliopsida; Poales; Poaceae.